AGGCGAUUAGUUUAAGAGAUUAAUUGAUUGACGAUAAUCACAGAAGAAGCACCGGCUAACUCCGUGCCAGCAGCCGCGGUAAUACGGAGGGUGCGAGCGUUAAUCGGAAUGACUGGGCGUAAAGGGCACGCAGGUGGUGACUUAAGUGAGGUGUGAAAUCCCCGGGCUUAACCUGGGAACAGCAUUUCAGACUGGGUGACUAGAGUACUUUAGGGAGGGGUAGAAUUCCACGUGUAGCGGUGAAAUGCGUAGAGAUGUGGAGGAAUACCGAAGGCGAAGGCAGCCCCUUGGGAAGAUACUGACGCUCGAGUGCGAAAGCGUGGGGAGCAAACAGGAUUAGAUACCCUGGUAGUCCACGCUGUAAACGAUGUCGAUUUGGGGAUUGGGUGAACACUUGGUGCCCG
Molecule: ribosomal RNA, 404 nt
Filed under: Histophilus somni
Lineage: Bacteria; Pseudomonadati; Pseudomonadota; Gammaproteobacteria; Pasteurellales; Pasteurellaceae
Description: bacterial SSU rRNA
Rfam family: Bacterial small subunit ribosomal RNA
Source: RNAcentral